RNAcentral lists this ribosomal RNA (116 nucleotides) under Pseudoalteromonas shioyasakiensis. RNAcentral describes it as "partial 16S ribosomal RNA". It matches the Rfam family "Bacterial small subunit ribosomal RNA", at positions 1 to 109 of the family's 1533-position model. RNAcentral also lists the same sequence under 3 other names. The record is from RNAcentral. Lineage: Bacteria; Pseudomonadati; Pseudomonadota; Gammaproteobacteria; Alteromonadales; Pseudoalteromonadaceae.
UAAUUGAAGAGUUUGAUCAUGGCUCAGAUUGAACGCUGGCGGCAGGCCUAACACAUGCAAGUCGAGCGGAAACGAAGAGGUGCUUGCACCUCUGGCGUCGAGCGGCGGACGGGUGA